This 253-nucleotide ribosomal RNA is filed under the name uncultured bacterium. Its description in RNAcentral is "partial 16S ribosomal RNA". It matches the Rfam family "Bacterial small subunit ribosomal RNA", at positions 524 to 776 of the family's 1533-position model. The record is from RNAcentral.
UACGUAGGGGGCGAGCGUUGUCCGGAUUUAUUGGGCGUAAAGAGCGUGUAGGCGGCCAGGUAGGUCUGCUGUGAAAACUCGAGGCUCAACCUCGAGACGUCGGCGGAAACCAUCUGGCUAGAGUCCGGAAGAGGAGAGUGGAAUUCCUGGUGUAGCGGUGAAAUGCGCAGAUAUCAGGAAGAAUAUCCGUGGCGAAGGCGGCUCUCUGGGACGGUACUGACGCUGAGACGCGAAAGCGUGGGGAGCGAACAGG